RNAcentral lists this transfer RNA (64 nucleotides) under Tenebrionoidea sp. 9 KM-2017. RNAcentral's name for it is "tRNA-Phe". The record is from RNAcentral. Lineage: Eukaryota; Metazoa; Arthropoda; Insecta; Coleoptera.
ACUUAAAUAGCUUAUAUUUAGAGCGCAAUAUUGAAGAUAUUGAAGAAACGUAUGUUUUUAGGUA